This 585-nucleotide ribosomal RNA is filed under the name Triticum aestivum (bread wheat). RNAcentral's name for it is "partial small subunit ribosomal RNA". The record is from RNAcentral. Lineage: Eukaryota; Viridiplantae; Streptophyta; Magnoliopsida; Poales; Poaceae.
AUGUGGACCUGUCUUCGUCAGCGCUAUGAGCCCUCUGGUGAUGCCUUAUACCUUUCUGUGGUUCGUCAGGAGCAUGCUCUUCAGCAGGGUGACUCUACUGUUGAUGACUUUUAUGCACAGAGUUCUGCUAUCUGGCGCCAGCUUGAUUCUCUCCGCAGUGCUGGUUGUCGUACUUGCCCCUACUGCCAGGCUGUCCAGGCCAACUUGGAGUUUCAUCGCGUCUACGAGUUCCUGUCUCGGCUCCGUAAGGAGUUUGAGCCCCGGCGUGCUCAGUUGUUUGCUCGUGGCCGUAUUUCUCUCAUGGAGGCGCUUUCAGAGAUUCGUGCUGAGGAGACUCGCUUACGUGGUGCUGGUUUGCUGGAGGUUCCCUCUGUGCUCGCUACUCGGGCUUCUUCCACUCCACCUGCUGCACCGCCCCAUUCUCGCUCGAGUGCUCCGCCGCUCUUGCCCACUCCUUCUGGAGGCUCAGGUCGCCCCCGUCCACAUUGUGACUACUGCAACAAUGAUGGUCAUAUUGAGUCCCAGUGCUACACAAAGCGGAAACACCUGCGCAAGGCGCGAUCAUCCUCCUCAGGGACUUCGUCA